This is a long non-coding RNA of Octopus sinensis (East Asian common octopus), 222 nucleotides long. RefSeq lists it as uncharacterized. The record is from RefSeq and is a predicted model, not a curated record. The transcript is spliced from 3 exons. NCBI's taxonomy places the organism in Eukaryota, Metazoa, Mollusca, Cephalopoda, Octopoda, Octopodidae.
AGCAACAAGGAUAUCAGAGGUAAUGCAGUACGAUUGUUUCAUGCAGACCUAUUUAAUUGAACAAUGCAAUCAAUACAUCAGUUUAAUAUGUAGAGCAAUCGUCAGCUGCACAAAGACUUAGAAUUUAAUUUAAAUUACAACAGAUGGACACAUUAGUAUAAUUAUACCUAAAAUCUCCAAGAAGUUAAGGAGAUAGACAAAGAACAUAAUGUCUCACCUAGU